GGCGAGAGCCUGACCAGCCAAGUAGCGUGCAGGAUGACGGCCCUAUGGGUUGUAAACUGCUUUUAUAAGGGAAUAAAGUGAGUCUCGUGAGACUUUUUGCAUGUACCUUAUGAAUAAGGACCGGCUAAUUCCGUGCCAGCAGCCGCGGUAAUACGGAAGGUCCGGGCGUUAUCCGGAUUUAUUGGGUUUAAAGGGAGCGUAGGCCGGAGAUUAAGCGUGUUGUGAAAUGUAGACGCUCAACGUCUGCACUGCAGCGCGAACUGGUUUCCUUGAGUACGCACAAAGUGGGCGGAAUUCGUGGUGUAGCGGUGAAAUGCUUAGAUAUCACGAAGAACUCCGAUUGCGAAGGCAGCUCACUGGAGCGCAACUGACGCUGAAGCUCGAAAGUGCGGGUAUCGAACAGGAUUAGAUACCCUGGUAGUCCGCACGGUAAACGAUGGGAUGCCCGCUGUUGGUCUGAGUAGGUCAGCGGCCCAAGCGAAAGCAUUAAGCAUCCCACCUGGGGAGUACGCCGGGCAACGGUGAAACUCAAAGGAAUUGACGGGGGGCCCGCACAAGCGGAGGAACAUGUGGUUUAAUUCGAUGAUACGCGAGGAACCCUUACCCGGGGCUUGAAUUUGCAGAGGAAGGAUUUUGGGAGACAAUGACGCCCCUUCGGGGGCCCUCUGUGAAAGGUGCUGCAUGAUUUGUCGUCAGCUCGUGCCGUGAGGUGUCGGCUUAAGUGCCAUAACGAGCGCAACCCCUCUCCUUAGUUGCCAUCAGGUCAAGCUGGGCACUCUGGGGACACUGCCACCGUAAGGUGUGAGGAAGGUGGGGAUGACGUCAAAUCAGCACGGCCCUUACGUCCGGGGCUACACACGUGUUACAAUGGCAGGUACAGAGAGAUGGUCCCUUGCAAAACGGAUCAAAUCCUUAAAGCCUGUCUCAGUUCGGACUGGGGUCUGCAACCUGACCCCACGAAGCUGGAUUCGCUAGUAAUCGCGCAUCAGCCAUGGCGCGGUGAAUACGUUCCCGGGCCUUGUACACACCGCCCGUCAAGCCAUGAAAGCCGGGGGCGCCUAAAGUCCGUGACCGUAAGGAGCGG
RNAcentral lists this ribosomal RNA (1084 nucleotides) under uncultured Prevotella sp. Its description in RNAcentral is "bacterial SSU rRNA". It matches the Rfam family "Bacterial small subunit ribosomal RNA", at positions 374 to 1455 of the family's 1533-position model. Lineage: Bacteria; Pseudomonadati; Bacteroidota; Bacteroidia; Bacteroidales; Prevotellaceae. The record is from RNAcentral.